This 471-nucleotide long non-coding RNA is filed under the name Ananas comosus (pineapple). Its description in RNAcentral is "long non-coding RNA (ACOM_LNC023913)". The record is from RNAcentral. Lineage: Eukaryota; Viridiplantae; Streptophyta; Magnoliopsida; Poales; Bromeliaceae.
AAAACUCAGAACACAGCUCAAACACUCGAACCUCGCAAUUUGCAAAGGUCCAGUGUGCUACAGUUAAAAAGUGUCGGUAUAAUCUAAAAAGAGUGCUGCUAAUUUACCAACACUUAUUUAAGAUUUAGCAACCGCCGGAACUCUACCUCGUUGGCUGCGGUGGUAGAGGAGGAGGAGGAGAGUAAAAGGCGCUUCGUCUAGAAUUUCAGUGGAUUGAGUGAGAGGAGAAGGGAAGAUGGUAAUCAAUUUUUUUUUUUUUUCUUUUAUGUUUGUAAUCGGGCCGAAUGGGUUGGGUGGGGUAGGUUGAGUAGAGUAAUCUUUUAUUUUUGGUUGGAUUAGGCUUUAUAUUUAGGCAUUAGUGGAUUUUUUCUAAAGUUUUGACAUAAAUGAGACACUUACAUAAAAGUGUCCCAAACAUGUGUCCCUAUAACAUAAUUUUAUUGUAGUGAGGGGUCAUCCACAUCUUCUGUU